AAGUAUGAUAUGACUGAGUGGCGGACGGGUGAGUAACGCGUGAGUAACCUGCCCUUCAGAGGGGGAUAGCGUUUGGAAACGAACGGUAAUACCGCAUAAUGUAUUCUUGACCGCAUGAUCGAAAUACCAAAGAUUUAUCGCUGAAGGAUGGACUCGCGUCUGAUUAGGUAGUUGGUGGGGUAACGGCCUACCAAGCCGACGAUCAGUAGCCGGACUGAGAGGUUGAUCGGCCACAUUGGGACUGAGACACGGCCCAGACUCCUACGGGAGGCAGCAGUGGGGAAUAUUGCACAAUGGGCGCAAGCCUGAUGCAGCAACGCCGCGUGAAGGAAGACGGUUUUCGGAUUGUAAACUUCUGUUCUUAGUGAAGAAUAAUGACGGUAGCUAAGGAGCAAGCCACGGCUAACUACGUGCCAGCAGCCGCGGUAAUACGUAGGUGGCAAGCGUUGUCCGGAAUUACUGGGUGUAAAGGGAGCGCAGGCGGGUGAUCAAGUCAGCUGUGAAAACUACGGGCUUAACCCGUAGACUGCAGUUGAAACUGUUCAUCUUGAGUGAAGUAGAGGUUGGCGGAAUUCCGAGUGUAGCGGUGAAAUGCGUAGAUAUUCGGAGGAACACCGGUGGCGAAGGCGGCCAAC
RNAcentral lists this ribosomal RNA (635 nucleotides) under uncultured Lachnospiraceae bacterium. RNAcentral describes it as "bacterial SSU rRNA". It matches the Rfam family "Bacterial small subunit ribosomal RNA", at positions 78 to 729 of the family's 1533-position model. The record is from RNAcentral. Lineage: Bacteria; Bacillati; Bacillota; Clostridia; Lachnospirales; Lachnospiraceae.